RNAcentral lists this transfer RNA (73 nucleotides) under Stegodyphus mimosarum. It matches the Rfam family "tRNA". Rfam says of the family: Transfer RNA (tRNA) molecules are approximately 80 nucleotides in length. Their secondary structure includes four short double-helical elements and three loops (D, anti-codon, and T loops). Further hydrogen bonds mediate the characteristic L-shaped molecular structure. tRNAs have two regions of fundamental functional importance: the anti-codon, which is responsible for specific mRNA codon recognition, and the 3' end, to which the tRNAs corresponding amino acid is attached (by aminoacyl-tRNA synthetases). tRNAs cope with the degeneracy of the genetic code in two manners: having more than one tRNA (with a specific anti-codon) for a particular amino acid; and 'wobble' base-pairing, i.e. permitting non-standard base-pairing at the 3rd anti-codon position. Lineage: Eukaryota; Metazoa; Arthropoda; Arachnida; Araneae; Eresidae. The record is from Rfam by way of RNAcentral.
GCCUUUCUGGUGUAGUGGUCAACACGCUCGACGCGUAUUCGAGAGGUCCGUGGUUCGAAUCCUGGGGAGGGUA